ACUAAAAACUUACAAACAUGCGUCUACAUAUUUGUCUUCAACGAUGAAAAUCCUUCUUACAUUCAAUUUUUAAUGUUGAUUUUUCCACUUUCUAGAAUUGUUUAUUUUAUUGUUAUUUUGUAUCUGUGUUAAUGGUCAGUUUUAUUUAGUUUUACCCUGGUUACACCGCAUUUUAUUGACCAUCGUUACGGUAGAGGCCACCAAGGGUCGGGAUCCUAUUACCAAUAAUUCACACGCGCUUCAGGCCGUAUUUUGGAGGCCCGUAUUUGCUUUGAACGUAUCCAAAGGAUCCACAGAGCCAGAGCCGGCUCGGAAGCAAUCAGUCAGGCGAACAGAGAGGUCUCCAGUCUGUGGUGUGGUGUCAAGAAGUGUUCUCAAUAAUUCCACCUCGAUGCGGUUCUGUGGCAAAAUGUAAUUGAAAUGUGACCAAAUUAUUUUCGAGCUGUCCAUACAAUUUGUGGCAAUUAUGACAAGGCCAAGAGAGCAAAAUGCUGCAUGCUGCCUGUUCAGUAUUUGUUUGCGCAGCGGGACAUCCAUUUCCCAGACGGCCUGACGCCUUGACAGAGACACAACCCUCGCUGCUUUCUGGGAUGGCGGCUAUUUUCGGUCCAACAAAUGUGGGAAGACCUUGAAAAAUUGAGGCUUUGGCCCUAGGGAUGGCACAAUGGUUCGAUAUUUUGAAGUUUUAUUUAAUGAUCUUUGGUAGAUAUUUUGAGAGAAUAUUAAAAUAGGAAAUAAUC
Molecule: long non-coding RNA, 740 nt
Organism: Drosophila miranda
Lineage: Eukaryota; Metazoa; Arthropoda; Insecta; Diptera; Drosophilidae
Exons: 3
Source: RefSeq, a predicted model, not a curated record